This 465-nucleotide ribosomal RNA is filed under the name Triticum aestivum (bread wheat). RNAcentral's name for it is "partial small subunit ribosomal RNA". The record is from RNAcentral. Lineage: Eukaryota; Viridiplantae; Streptophyta; Magnoliopsida; Poales; Poaceae.
AUGGCAACUCUGAAAGAUGCAGUAGCACGGAAGCCUAUACUGGCAACAAUCCGCCUGCUUGUUCCAGCUGGUGCUGCACGUCCUGCACCACCAGUUGGUCCGGCACUCGGUUUUUAUAGGCUCAAUUUGAUGGCAUUCUGCAAGGAUUUCAAUGCAAGGACCCAGAAAUACAAGGCAGAAACUCCUAUGCAGGUCACGCUAACUGCCUACAAAGAUAGCACUUUCGAGUUUGUAGUCAAGUCGCCGUCCGUUUCAUGGUUCCUCAAGAAGGCAGCAGGAAUUGAGACCGCCAGCACUCGUCCUGGUCACAACGUUGUGUCAUCCCUAACACUCCGCCACGUUUAUGAGAUUGCAAAACUUAAACAAGCUGACCCCUUCUGCAAGCAUAUGUCGCUCGAGGCGUUGUGCAAAUCUAUCAUUGGCACAGCUAACUCAAUGGGCAUUGAGAUUGUCAAGGAUCUCUGA